CAGCACGACGUGAAGCCACAUGGAAACGCUUGGAAGAAGUAGCUGCAAAGAAAUCUGCGAGCAACGAAGCUGUGCUUGUUUUUGGCAAAGCACCUCCGCGCACUACUUCACUUUAGCCGAAGCAAGACACUUGCUGACAAUACAAUGAACACUUGCUGACAAUACAAUGACAUCAAAUUUCUAUCAAUUUAAAACGGGAUUCGUAGUAUUGUGACGUGGUUCGGGUGGUGAAAUGCUCAUAUUUGCUAACUGCUCACUGGUACUGAAUAUUGCAGGAUCAUUGUGUA
Molecule: long non-coding RNA, 287 nt
Filed under: Malus domestica (apple)
Lineage: Eukaryota; Viridiplantae; Streptophyta; Magnoliopsida; Rosales; Rosaceae
Description: long non-coding RNA (MDOM_LNC016116)
Source: RNAcentral